Non-coding RNA from Taeniopygia guttata (zebra finch), 17706 nucleotides. NCBI's taxonomy places the organism in Eukaryota, Metazoa, Chordata, Aves, Passeriformes, Estrildidae. The record is from RefSeq and is a predicted model, not a curated record.
GCCACAGUGCAUCUCAUGAGCAUUCAUUUCAGGGUAGUUCAUGCAAAGUGUUCAUUAUACAUUUACAGCCCUCUGGUUGCUUGAUGACUUGUAAAAUUCCUUUAAUUGUCUGUCCAGACUUUUGCUGUUUGUUUUGGCCUUUGGUUAUGCAGUCACUCUUGAGAAACAAGACUGCAAUCUUCAAUCCUUACAGCAGAACAGUUGUCUUCUGAUGUGCCAUGUUAGCAGAAAGUAGUGGCAGACAGGACCAUGCUACAAUACAAAGAUGCCAUGAGGGUCUUGGUGCUAAUGCUGUUGUAUUGUUCAGAGCAGUUCUUGGCUGCUAAGAAAACCUGUAUGGAAAAUAAUCUAUUGAUUCUUGGCCUUUUAAAGUAUUUGUUAUGCACAGUUACCAAAAAAUGGUAUCUGUAAUUUCUGGAAAAUGCUAUUUUCCUUUUGUUUGUUAGAUCUCUUUCCUGAGAAGUGAAGAAGCUGGGCAGGCAAUCUGGCCCUGGCUGCUCUCACAGUUCACUUGUCUUCCCUACCCUGAGGGAGACAAUAUGCUUUUAUUGGAAGGGACCGACUGACCCAAAAAGAGAGGAUACGCUGGGUAUAUAUUGUUCUAAAAUGCACAGUUUGGGAAAAAAUAUUCUAAAGCAAAUUAAAACCUAAAACAUUGGACUUCCUCAGUCCCAGGAGAACAGCUUGAGCAGAAAGUAGAGUCCUGGAAAUGUGUUUGGGAGUGUCUGUCAUGUUGUGCUUGGAAGCUCCUUGCUGGUUGAAUGUACAGGAAAUUUUUUCCCCACUUCUUUAUGGGGAAACUAAAUAUAACAUUUCUCUACCCCUGGUUCUGUAAUUGCUGUUAAACAACAUGGUAAUUGUGAGUUUACCUAAUCAUUGAUAAGUCCAGUCUAUUUCACAUAAGACUUAUUUUUCUGUUUUCCUUUUUUUAAAUAAAUAAAUUAAUAUUUUGAUUGCUGCUGCGUGGAUAAGGUUAUGGAGAAUUAAUUUUUGGAGGGAACUAAAAUGUAGCUGGGUGAUCAGAAGCUUCUUAUGAAAUAUUUAGUAAAGUUAGGAAUGCCUAAUAUUUAAAGAUGCUCUGAUCGGUAAAGAUCAUUUAUUGUUUCUUGGUUUUCUCCAGCUGAUGUCUUUCAGGUAUAGCCAGAGCUCAUUCUGAAAACCGAAGUUUUUGGAGGCAGUGGCCCAGAAGAAUGAGCUGAUUCCUGCUUUAGGCAAACCUUGUAGUGCCCUACAAGUACCUAUCUCUUCUGGUGCCAGCUGUCACCAUUUGGGAGAUAAAACUGUUUCAGUGAGGUGAUCUGUAACUUCCUUUCUUUGAAACUUCUUCUGCUGAAAGACCUGUGAGGGAACCAGGAGCCUCCACCUCUAGCUGGGUGUGAUGUUGUGUUAUUAAAAGAUGAUUUCUCUCCAGCUGGACAAGACCAGGCUGUUGGAGAACAGAUAAUUUUUGUGUGUGGAAAUGCAGUCAUGUGUGAUGAGCCUCUCCUGUUCCUAAAGCGGUUUGAUGGUUAAAGUGUGACAGAAGACCUGUCCUUCUCUGCAGUAUCUGCUGCCUCUUGUACACACUUAGCAGGUUUCCUCUAGGAUCUGCAUGAAGUGCAAUGUCCUCUUAGAGGUGAGAACAGUAUUUGCAGCUGAGGAUGGUGACAGUGGAAUUGGGGCCUCACUGAGAACCACAGAGAAACAUUCUUAAAACUUGCAGAGCGCAUGAAAAAAAAUCUUCAUCUUUUUUUAAGAGAUCUAACUCCUUCUGUUGCAUAUCUCAAUGAUAGAUUGGUUUCAGUUUUCACCUCUUGAGUUCCAGUGGCACAUAAAUUCUUGUGUUUUGAAAAGGAGCUUGUAAAUUUGAAAAUGCAAAUAGCUUGUGAUGCUGUAAUGAGUUCAUUAUCUGAUCAGUAUUGAUUCUUGCUGUUUAAGAAAUGAAAAUAAGUUGAAAAGGGCAGGGUACAGUAGCAUCUACAGUCAUUCUGGGAGCAAUGACAUGUUUAUUUAAGUGGAAAAUGCUAUUUUGAGCAGAGACUGCCAUCCACAAAGCAGUCUGAUGGAAAUAUUUUAGUGUAAGAGAGCUGCCUUUAUGCAGGGGUAAUGCCUGAGGAUUUCCAGUUACUGGAAAAAAUCCUGAAAGAUCUAAAGCUGCAAUUCUUCUGUCUUGGGAAAUGGAAAAAAACAAAAGGGAAAUAGCCUUUGGGCAGCUUAGCUCAGUUAGCUGCUCCCUGCUCACAGCCUGCAGCUCAAGGUUUCAUUCUUCAGUCACAAGAAGCCACAUCCUCCCAGGAUCAGCUGAAGCCAGGGGGCUCUUUGCAGUCUUCAUGUCUGACUCUUGCUGAUGCCAUUAGCAAGAAAUACAAAUGGAGCUGCUGGUUUGUGACCAGUGCUGCCUUCAUGUGAACUGGCCCUGCCACUCAAGAGCACUUAGGCUGGUCAGCUGCCUGCUCCAGGUGUUCCAGUUGUUUAGUUCAGCCUCUGAAUUAAAGUUAUCUCCACUCUGUGCCAUUGAUUUGCCUGAGUGUCCUUUUAAUUUUAUUAAGUAGUGACAAUGAAGCUCAUAUCUUUUGCAUAAAAGGGGAGCCUUGGAAGCAGGAGAAGACAGAGGUGAUACCUACUGGAAAUAGUCAGUGAUUUAAGCAAGGCACACACUGUUUCUUACCUUCUGGCUGGAAGCUGUUCCUCUGGAGUGCUCUGUUUAAAGGGAUAAAAACUGAUGAGGCCUAAAAGCCAUUUUUGCAUUUCUGAGUUGGGCCAUAUAAAUGGAUGAAAUUACUGUCAACCCAACCAUCUGCAAAAUGUCUUAUCACAAUACUGCAAUAUUGCAGUGUAUGUAUUCAUGUUUUAGUCAGCAUUUGGGCAGGCUUCUGUAUAUAGGGGUUUGAAUGUGUCAAUAGCUUUUUGCCCAAAUAGAAUUCCUCUGAAUAUGCAUCUUAUCAGCGUUGCUCAUUGCAGGCUGCUCUCCUCUCGGAAGGCAGAAAACGUUGCUGUGAGAUGAGUCACACCGUUUAACAGCUUGUUGCUUCCUCGGUGAGACGCACCCUUGCUGUGCAUGCCAGUGAUCAUGGAACUCCUGGCAAAUGCCCUGUGACGUGAACUCCUCGUGGCCCCGGUUCAUGGAACGCCCCUGGCACUCGCUGAAACGCCUUGUGCUUGUGGCUCCUCGCUGCUGUUGGGUGCGCUGCUCCUCCUCCCAAGACACUCCUAAACUUCAGGCUUCAUGGAAAUAAUCAAGUUACUGCAUUGGACAGGUGACCACAGAAUCCAUUGAGCUGAAGGGAGUACAAGACAGAGACAGCUUGAGGUGAGAAGGAGUCUGUGCGUGUCAGAAUUUCAUUAGCUUGCUGGGAAGUGGGACAUCCUGGACGUCCUCCACCCUCCUUAAACUUCACUUUGGUGGUGAACAUGUUCUGCCUAUGCUGUGGGAGAUGCUGAAGAACCCAGAAGGGUGAGAAAUACCAGCAGGGUUUUAGUGCAGACUCUUUUCUGAGGGCAGAUGGGGAGCAAUUUCCUGGCUGAGCGCUGAUAGUUUGUCUACCGUGCAGCGUUGCUCUCUGUGGCUUGGCACAGGUUCAGUGCUCUGUGUGGUGUGGAAGCACGCUGUGUAAAACGUGAGAACUUCCUGCUGUGAUAAGGAACCAACAGUUCUUCCAGCAGGUGCAGUCUUUAGCUGCAGUCCUGAAGAUGUAACAGAAAUGUUUGCUGUCAUGGGCCUUCAGUAUUGUGAAUCUCAAACCGAGUCUGGCCUGAACAGUUCAGAAGGCCAAGCUUUGCUUUUUGCCUUGCACUGCUGUGAUAAGAGAAUUAGGAGGGGAAGCUGUGUUCAAGAAUCUUUAAUCCAUUAUGGUGGCUGUGACCAAAAUGAAUAAUCUUAUUUUAAAGGGUGCUCUAAACCACUAAAGCUUUAUAAAUAUUAAUUUUGUUCAUUUGUUUCCUAAUAAAAGGCUUUUAUUCAUUAAAUCACUAUUUAUUUAUUAACCUGACAAACUAAUAGCAAGCUCUCUUCUUUCAGUGUAUGCAUGUGCCAUAUCACAAUUCUGCUUGUCACCGUAAUAAGAACUUCAUUCAUCUGUCUUAAAAUGUCAUUGAUAACAACCUGGCAGUGGCCCAGCUUGGAGCAAGUUAACUACAAAAGACUGCAUUGUAAACCUUUCUGAGAGUACAUGCUACAUUAAGUCUAAAAUUAAAAAAAAAGAGAGAGAGAAAUGUGCAGGCUGGUCCGAGUGUCAUACAACUGCCAAAUAGCUUCAAACCUCUGGGGAAAAAAAAAUGGAAUCCUGUACAGAGGAAUUCUGGCUGAGAUGGAUUAGUUUGGAAUGAAGGAUGCAUUCUGCUCACUUACACUGAAUUUAUAAGCCUCAUCUUAAAAUGAGAGGGAAUGCCUUGCUGAACCACAAGCAGCUAAAUGAGAGCUUGAACAUGUAAGGCUCUUGUUAUUUCCUUUAGUCUCGUCUUUCUGCGACCAGGAUAAAAGCUACAAUCUGAAAAUAGUCACAUGCCUCUGGAGUUAACUGCUAGGAAUACUGUGAGUUUGUCUUGGUUAUAGAAACCUUCCCUGACUCCAUCUGCAGCCUGUGCACCAAACAUUUAUCCUCCCAUAAGUUCACAGAGUGCAGGGAGGGUCUGUCACACACUGAAGUUCAAAUAUCUGGUCUCUGCCAGCCCCUCUGGAGGGACCUGAGCCUGCUCCUUGCUCUGCAAUGCUGUCUAUGGUGCUUCACCUUAACAGAGGUUUAGGGCUUCCUGCCUGUGACUCUCCUGUUCUUAAAAGUAUUACAAAUUAAAUUAGCAGCCUGGGUGAGGGUGAACUGAUCUUUCCAUAAAACUGAUACAGAGUUUGUGAACUUUAUGGACAAAAGCUUCCAGGGAUCUUUAGAGUGGGCUGUGUCCUGUGCUGCAUGUGGGGUUUGGUACAGCCCCUGACUGACCUAGGCAGUCCCACUGAACAAUUCAACAGCUGAGUUGACCAUGAUGCUUUAACACAUCUUCAUCCAAGGUCUUCUGGAAGCACCCUAAGCAUGCAUUAAACACCAUGGUUCUCAUCCUACACCUCAGACAUGGCCAAGGCUCAGGCAGUGUGGGGAAGGGCUUGCUCACAACUCAUGGGUUUACAGUCGGAUUUCUUAACUGGAACAAGGACUGCAAGAGUCUUUAAAAACUAAAACCCCAAACCCUGCAAUUUCAUGCUUCUUCACUUCUGUGGUUUUUGUUUUGUCUCUUUCUUAAGUAUAGUGUAUGGACAGCGCCAUGGGUUAGGGAACACUGCAGCUUCAUCCUCAGAGACUUUUCGUAUGUAGCCUUCUGCUGAAGUCAAUGGGUGUGGAGGUAAGCGGUGCCGAGUGCUUUCUGACAACAUCACUGCCACCCACUCUGCAGCCUGAUGCACACAGCACUCCUUGUAUUUGAGCAUUGUUUUUCUCCAAAAAAGUCGCAUGCGGUUGCACAAUAAAGACACAGCUUAUUUGUGUAAUGCAAAUCUGUUCCUGCUUGUUGGUACAAAGUGCAAGCAGCGAGCAUCAAAGUGCGGAGACUUCACAGAUCCUGCAUGAACACUUGCCACUGAACUUCAGUGACAUCCUGCAUUAUGUCAGAAUAAAAGAUGACAUCACAGUUGGUCUGUGAGUGAAUGGGAUUUGAACUCAGGGUUGAAUGUUGCUGCCUGGAGCAUUUGUGCUGCUGAUGCUCAACACCCUUUGCUCUGCUACUGUUUGUUUAUGUAUUUUUACAGCUGCUGAAUUUAGUUUCUCAAAGGUUAAUUAUUUUAUCAGGAGCCAGUCAGAAUUGGAGUUUCCUGUUUCCUUGUCUUCUGUUGAUUUCCUUUUCUGUUGAAACACAACUUUCUCUGUUGAAACAACUCAGUUCCUGCACUCUUCAGUUUCUGUGUAGUGACUUGAAGUGUCUGAAAUGGCCUGAUAUUCUCACAAAGAUAUUGACAGUGGAGUCUGGUGACUAAAUUGUUGUGAUAAAACAAAAAUUCAUUGGUUGAUGCUGUUGAAAUCCGCUGACUUUUCUAUGCUCCUAAUAGAAGGCUUUAAAAUAUCCAGCUGCAGACUGAUCCUCUCCAAGCAUGUGACGCUGACAUCAGUCCUAGAAGUGAGGCGUUGAACUGCCUCCAAAAAUGAGCUCAUUGGGGAAUAUUCAAUGCACUGAUUUAGCAAAAUAUUAAUUAAUUUGAUUACAUGGUCACCUGUACAUACUGUUUGAAAGAUGGUAAUUCAUUCCAAUUUUAGUUGCUACUGUUCCAGAUACCAGUGUUAUAAAGAUCGUGUUGAUAGGACUCUGUGCUCCCACUGUGUGCUGGGACCUGGGUUUGGCAGAGCCUACCUCUAAUUGCCACUAAUUUGCUCUAACACUUGGCAGUUUCUUGACUUUUCUUCUCCCUGCAUCUCUCCCAAUAAGCUGCAGGGAAUAAGACAAGAUUCUGUUGUCAAGCCAUCCGUCUAAAGCCACUCAUAAAACUUGCCUAAUUUUCUUGUGGCUCCCUUGACUUUUUAAAAUGGCUGUGAAAACACAGCCAUGUGCUUUCCCAGAAGUUUGGGUAGUGGUCCAUCUUCAUCUUGACCUGCCUGAUGCCAAAGCUGAGUGACCAUAAUGGGAUUAAACCCUGGCCCUGGAGGCUUCCUCCCCUCCUGUAGCUUGAGGUCAGCUACAGUAAUUGCAGACUUCCUCUUUCAACCCACACAAAGACCAUGGAUUCAGGCAACACUGGACUCAUGGUGACCCCAAAUACUUGCCUAUUAUUUUAUAAACUUGAAGAAAUUUUGUAUUUUCCUUUAAUUACAGUAGUAGCAUAUUCUAGAUGCAACUGUCCAAGCACAUCAACACAUGUCUUUUAUUUGAAACAUGGCAUAGGAGAAACAGAAGGGUUAGAAGGGUUCAUGUGCAUUCGUGCAGAAACAGUUUUGUCUUCCUCCUUCCACCCAGUAUUUUCUGCCUGUUACUGCACAUUGCAGGAUUGUUAGUUUUGGAUUCUGUUUCUCUCUGAAUAUAAGUCUUUAUGGAGCUGCCCAUAAUGUUGCUCUUUUCUUUCAAGAAACACUGCUGCUAACUUAGGACAGAGGAGGAUGCUGUGUGUUACAGGGCUGUAACGAUGCCUGAAUUGCAAACUGUUGUGCAACUAAAGAAUGGUAUUGUGCAAAACAGAGUGGAAAAACGGCUGCUGAUGAGCAAAGAGAGUUGAAGCAACAAGAAACCCUACUUAGAGAGCAAGAGGAGAAGCUGGGUUUGAAGAACAAGCAGUAGAAAGCAAGAUAGGAAGGCUCCACUCCUGCAAGAGUAAAUGAUCCCUGGAGCAGCCAAGGAGGCUGUUGGAUUUGAACUCUGUGCAAAGUUCAGUGGAGAGUGCGCUCCAAUGUCUCAGGCGAUGCUGCUUCUUCCUCCUUCUUGUUUACAAGAAGUUGGCAUGAUAUCAGAAUCAACUACUAAAACAUCCCUGGUGGGAGAAGAAUUGGGAUGAUAAAAUACUUCUUUGCAUCCAGAAAGUUAUUGCUACAGCAGUAGCUGUUGAAGCUGGCUGAGUGGCUGCUGCCUGGUUUUGGUUCAUGUCAGGAAUGGUGCUGUUGGGAAGUGAGUCCUGAGGUGGGACUGUGCAGUCCUCAUUGUGCCUCAGCACAGUUCUCAGCAUACUUCAGAUGCUGCCUCUGCAAAACGAUGGAAUAAACUUCCUCUUCUCCCAGUAAAAUGCCUGUGGUACACACAUCAUGGAGUUGGUUUUGUCCAUCCUUACUUAACAACAACAAGGGUUGUGCAGAAAACAUGUAGGGCAUGGAAAUGAAGAGCUGAGCCCCAUCUAUCCUCUGCUGCUGAAGGGUGGGAGGAGCUUGGGAGGCAUGGAAAAGAGGAAAACAGCUCUGCCUGUGCCUGUUUUGAUACUGAAGAGCUCUUCCCAGUGAUCUGAGAAGGGGGUGGGGAGAGAACCAGAUGCUCUUAGGAAGUUCAUACCAUUGUUAAUAAUGUAAUUCACAGAUGGUGGUGAAGGCCUUGAAGAGGCUUUCAUGCAGUCCUUACGCUCUGUAACAGAUCAUCACAUAAGGGCUCACAAAUAGAGAUGACUUAAUCCUAAGCAUGAGUCUACAGUGAUCUGUUUGAUGGUAGGCCUGCAGAUCACUGCAACCUUUUUAAACAGUUAAGAGCCUUCAGGAUCCCUGGAUGUUGAGCACUAGAACUGGACCAAUCCCUAAUUAAGUUGUCAGGAUAAAAUGUUUGUAUAGCUUUGAGACUUUCCCAAUGAAAAUGGCUCUUGAAAUUAAAAAACAAGUUCCUCUGUCCUGGUACAGAAAUCAGUACAGGUAAAGCAUGAACAUCAGUUUGUACAAUGACAUCUUGUUAAGAGGCAGUUGUGCUUUUAUCUCCAUUUUUUCUGAUUGAAGCUGGAAGCAGAGCUUGUGUGUGUUCUGAAUAGCUGUCAAUACUUUGUAGCAGCUAAGGAGGAUUGUGCCUUGCAUGUCCUCCUGUUGAAAAGAAGUCACUCAUAUUUACCAGCUUUACAGCAAAUGAACAGGCUGCUGGUUUUCAGACAUGUAGAAUCAGGAAAGAUUUAGCUCAAAUGCUUGCAAUAAAAUUCAAUAUUUGUAUGUUUGUGAGAGGGUUAUUGAUAAGAUCUUCACUGGCUGCUGGUCAGCUUUUGCUGUAAACUGUGUAACUACAAGUAUUUAUCAGGGACUUGUAAGCAAUACUGGCUUGCAUGUCUAGCACUAGAAAUCAAAAGUUUCAAAUAACAUGAGAACUGAUCUUGGCUUUGUUGUUUGUUGCUGUCUUUUCAAGUGCAGCGUCUCAUUUUCUAAGAGACAUUCCCAUUGUGGGUUUGAUUAUUAUUAACUUCUUCAAGUUUAAAUUGAGUUUAGUAAAUUGACUUCUUGUGAUGUUUGUCAUGUGAUGGUUUAUGAGCUCUCAAGAAUGUGCUCCUGUGACUUCAGCCAUGUAUUUGCCUGUACCAUGCAGGCUACAUCAUGUGUUCUUGUUGGUCUUGCAUUUUGAGCUAAGUAGUGAAGGGGGUUGGGAGGAAAAAAAAAAAAAACGGGGGAGAACUAAUUCAGGGCUAAGCUACCAGAAAUUCUCAGACUGCUUAAUUUGUGACCUUGUUCCCUAGUAAAAUGCAACCCAGGAUUUUCUGCUUCUUCCAUAGUUUCAGAGGAGUGUUUUCUGCAUUAAAAAUUGUGGUUUUUCUCUUACUAUCCUCUUUGAAAACCAGGAAAACCCUUUGCUUUAAAAUACCUUGACAUUUUGGGGGAAAAGAUUUUUUUAGUCCUUGGUGGGUGGGUGUGCUUUAACUGAGAAAGUUAGAAACUGUCUUUCUGAUCCACAUUUUCUGCAUAUAUCAACUGUAGCAUCUGUAAAGCAAUAUCUUUAUUACUGCAGUAAAAUGAACAAAGUUAAAAUUACUGCAUCUGAGCCAAGAAUUUUUGGUUUCUCCACAAUGGCCAAAGAUUUGGAGCACUAAAAGUGCUAUCAGUGAGUCUCCAGCUCCUUGUCCCACUGCCUGCCUGUGAUGUCUGUGUCCAGUGGAAGCAGAGUCCUCCCAGGACUGAGGAUUCACAAGGUUUGUUUUAAGCAGCACUUUCCAGCAUUGGGCGUCCUUCUAUGUAUUUUCCUGGCACUAUGUAAUGCUGUUUCUCAUUUGUAUAGACACAUACAUACACAUACAUGUUACUGCUGUUCAAUCCUCUGCAUUUCCCCCUCUGCAUUUAUGUACAUCAUGUUUCAGCAGAGCUGUACCUUAUACAGUUCCCAUACUAGGAAGGUUUUUUGUAGUUUUUAUGUCUGCGUGGGCUAAGCAUUUCUUUAGACUUGAAUCCAACAUCAAAGUAACAUUGGUUUAAUACAAUGUUUUUAUAUCACCUUUUUUCCUCCAAGUUGGAUUUUAUUUUCAGCUCUGACUGUCUUUAUUUUUGCUGCAUAUUUUGAGACUUUUUGCUUGCUCUUCACAUUAUUAAAAAAAAAAAAAAAAAACAACCCACACACAAAACUCUGUUUUCCUUAGCUCAUACAGUAUUUCCACUUGGCUCAAAAGAUGUGGAUUUGUGACCUGAGGGAAUCCUCGUUUGGCUGGUCACCCAAGCUUUCUUCAAGAGUAUUAGAAGGAUCUACAGCUUAAGUUCAUCAGAGGGAUGACCUGCUCUGGUUUUAAUGAGAUUUAUUAUACCUGUACCUGUUGGAUUCUGUGGUUUUGAUCUUCAAAAUUAUCUGAAUAAACCUGUUAGUGAAAGCAAAACUGUUGACAGAAAACUGACUCUACUCAAUCUGCCCUGUGUUAAGAUUAUUGAUUUUUGGAAUUAAAAAAUGUCCGUUGUGGCAUUGGCAUGGAACUUCUGUGUGAUGUUUGGCAAAAUGCUUGUAUCCAUGCUUCCCUUCUCAACUCCUCCAAUCCCCCUCUCAGAAAACCACACUGAUCAAAUUCUGAUAUCGCAGUCCAGGCUUGGAACGGGUGGAAGAACAAAUCUGGAUGUAGGAGUUGAUGGAUGAUUGUGUGUGGAUGUUAUGGAUACAGCUGCAUUCCUAACACAUGCAGGAGAGAUUGGGAGGGGUCGGUCUUGGCCAAACAAAAAUAUGUAUUUUCCCUAAAACUGCCUUUGUUUUGAAAACUCAACAGUGUUUAACGAUUUGAGUUUUGUUAGCUGAAAGAAUCUGAGAGAGUUCUCAAAAUGAGUUUCUGUGAACUUUCAGCUUGUCAAAUAUCUGUGGUCCUCCAGGGCCUGGAAGGGGAUCAGAGGCACUGGAGGGUUAUAGAUGUGCACUGGAUAUGGUUGAGUGAAGGCAGCGCUGGGGAGCAACACGAGGAGGGAAAGUGGUGAGAGUAUCUGGGUCAGCCUCCUCCAGAGCUGCAGGACACGUGAGAUGCUGCUCUGGUCUGGUUUAACUUCUUUCAGUUUGGUGACUUCCACGGAGGUUUAACACAGCUCUAGAAGAUUCAGGUUGACAGGCCUGCAGCAGAGGUGGCCAGUGAACACGGAGAUUUGACUUGUUCCAUCAAGAUCUGGCAAGCCUGAUGACUGGGUGAUCUCUGGAGCCGUAAAGAGGGAUGUGGCCUGUCAAUAACAGAACUCAUCAACUGUCCUGUGCUGGCGCUGGGAUUUUGGACAUGCAGCACUCAAGUCUGAGACAAAUGCAUUGCUGGGUGUAACGCCUUUCCUUUUUUUUAUUUGUACCUAUUAAUGGAAGCAGAGAGCAUAAUGUAAUCUUAAAAUAGCUCCUUCGUGAAUGCAGAAACAUUCCACUUCUGACUAAUUGGCCAUUCAGAAUGAGCAUUUAAAUAUGCACCAGGGACUGAGCGGCAGCUUUCCAUAUCCGCAUGAAUGGAGCUGGAAACGUGCUGCACUGCAGAGCUGUGCAGGCUCCUUGCUUUGUCCUCAUACCCCACACUCCUCACUCAGUGUGACUGCUCUACCCUGGGAGGCAGAAUGCAUGUCCUGCUUGCUGUCUCUUUGGUUAGGCAGCAAGCUGAGGGGGCUGUUCAUUUUCUCUACUCUCAAGACUGAGCUUCUUGGAAGCACUAGGCUGAUAAACAGUCCUCGAAACCAGAUUUCUCUUUCUCUUGGUUGUGAAUGACCAGGAACACAAAGAGCUUAUGGUCCGAGUCCUGGCUCCAGUGCAUGCCUUGGAGAGCUUGGCACGCACCAGGGAGCCCAUGUGCAGUAUUUUGACUCUGGCAGGCCCCCUGCUGCCCCAGAGCAUCUAGCCCAGCUUCACAGUGAGAGUAAGACACACAGAUACACGUGUGGUCAGUUGUGUCACUGACCUAAAACCUGUCCCAGCUCAAGGACUUCUCUUGCACCUGCUCGCCACCUGCCCAGGGGAUGGUGCUGCUCAGGGCUCUCUGCCAGGGCACAAGUGCCACUGGAAGUGGGUAGGGUCUCACCUGUCAGAAGAGGGCACAUUUUCCUUCACCCACUUGUCCUGGCUUUCUCUGCUCUAUAGGAGUAAAAUUCCUGUGUGCCUUCACUGGGUGUGUUUUGUUUUUCUGCUGAGCAAAUACACAUCGUUGCUGGGUCAGACUGUUGAUGUUUUGUGCGUAGUGAGACCGUCCUCAUGGUCUGCAUGUGCCUGACUGUGCAUGGCACUGGCCCCUCCUGGCAGGCUGAGGGUGAGGGCUGGCUCCCUGUCCUAGUGCUGCUUUCAUUCUCCUGCCCGUGGGCUCAGUGCCAAGGGAGCUGCCUGGGCCAGACCAGCCAGGCAGAGUCUACAGAGGUGAUUUUCUUUCGCUGAUCUGUGUUGCUUUUCCAAAUCCCAUAUGGCCUAUAUGGCUGUAAUUGUAGCUCAUUUAGAGCUGACCUCAAAGGCAAGUUCUCCUUUCCUCCCAAAAAAGAGAGGUUUUCACAUAAGGGCUUACUCUGGUUUAAGGCUGCUUUAUCUUAGUGUGACAUAAACCUGUUUCUAGUUAUCUUAAGGCAGAAAGCAACUAGAGGAUUUGGAUUGGACUGGAUGAUUGAUUCCUGCUGAUUUAAGCAAUCCAUAAGGAGUGCCUUUUGCCCUUACCUAGCUAAUCUUGAUUUCCUCUUCUGGCAUAGGCAGCAACAAGAAUUUUACUCUGUCUCUUGCAGUGGGACAGAGGUCUGGGAAGUGCCAUACUCUGAGCAUUGGCUUCUGCAGCUCUGCUCUUCAGGUGGUUAUUUAUGCAAGGCACUAGCCAAAGGGAAAGGAGAGUUUUAACUGGAUUAACCUUAAGAAGAGAGUGUGGGGAUUUAGGGAUUAAGGAACCAAAAGCAGCCAGCAAUCAGUGACUUAAAAUCUGUAAGAGAGCCAGUCUCUAUAGACAGGGAAUACAGUCUUUUCUUACCUGCACAGCAUUGAGAUGGGCAGUGUUUUACCUCUGAGAUCUUGGAGAAGAUGGUCUUAAGGGUGCAGGGUUUAUGUAGGGUGUUUUCUCUGAAAACUUGUGUAUUGAUGGGAAUUGGCAACUCUUUAAGAAAGAAACUAGUAAAGGACUGAGUGCUCAGAUGAGAUCUCAAACCAGGCACUGGGAAGGUAUGUUGGUGGCUUGCUCCAAUAUAAUGAGAACAUCUGGUUUCCAUAGACUUGCAGCUCGUGUAGCUUCAUGCACUCCUCUUGUACACCUUCUACCCUUGCUUUCAAAGUGUUUCUGUUGUCCCAUAUAUUUUUUUUUUUCUACUGAUGCUGUUAUGUAUCCUCUGCAGGGAAAAUCCUGCUAGAUUACCGGAUUGAUAGAAAGAUUUGGAGGCGUGGGGGAGAUCAACAAAAACCUGUUACUAAGGAGACACGAGUUUUAGCGUUGAGUCUCUAAUGGCCAGUCUGACGAAGGGGAAACAGAUGGCACAAAGGAGACUGGGAUUAUACAGACAAGUACCACAGGGCUGCAAAUCUGAUACAUCCAUUGAACUUCCUGGGGUCAGGCAAAUCCAGCCUUGUGCCAAGACUAAUGUGGUUCCUUUGCCUUUGGCACUGUUUGUGUCCUUCUGUUAAAGGCUGUUCUGGACACUGGGCUUCUGCCUCAAACAUUCCUGCCCCAGGGAACAGCGAGGUUUGGCACAGAAUGAGGGCAGGUGGCUGGUAGGGAAGUGUGUCCCUUUUGACAGGUCAAGAUGUACCCGCUUCUGGUGGUUCUCCCUUCCUGAGAGGGGGAAAUAACCAAACAUAACCCUGCAUUCUGCUUGAGUACAGCUUUUCUUCUGUUACUGAUGCACUCGUGUAGAAAAGUGACUUCUGUCCUGGAAGAAUGGGAGGAUGGAUGGUGGCUGCAGUCACUCCUGGCUUUUGACACAGCCUGGCCUUUAUUACAAUAUAAUGUUUCGCAGAGGCUUAAAUUUCAAGAGUGAUGCUCCCAGCUGCGUGCUGCUUGCUGGGCUGCAGCUUCCCCAGCUCCUGCCUGCUCUGGAGAGACAUGACAUGGCACUGCUGGUCUGGACAGAGCAGUGGGUAAAUAAGCAAAGGCAGAAUUCAUCCUGGCUGAGGAGAAACAGUGCUGGAGUCGCUUUUGCAAGAAGCUAAUUAACAUCUGGUUUUGUAUUUAACUUUCAGGCUGGCUCUAGAGAGUGUUGCAGUAAACAGGACACUGAUUUGUUAAUAGUGGGAGAGUGCUAAAUGACUACAGUGCUAGAAUUAAUAGCUUGACAGCAUAUCCUCUUCUCCUCUUCUCUCCUCCCACAGCAAUUUGGACUGAUACCCAAAUAAACAAUAACAAAUAGAUUUUUGGAGGAGCUGGCUAGGAGAAAUAACAAAAGUCAAGGGGCACUCGUUAUGCAACAUUGUUCUGCGAGUAUUUGACUCAUCCAGAAAACCCUGUUCUACUCCCUAGCUUCAUUUUCCAUUUUCUUUUUUUUUUCUUCAGCCUCUGUUGAGGAGGUAUUAUAUUUGCUGCUUUGCUUUUGGUCCCUCAGAAACUCCCUAUACCCUUGGAUCUCCAGUUGCUGUUUAGGCAUGGAAUGCUGGAAGAGUGUAGGCAGAACCCUACUGUAGAGAAAUAGCGUGUGAGAGCCUAUAAACCAGCUUGGGUCGGGCAAGAAAAUUGCUCUGGCUUUAAUUCCAACCACAUGAGACUAAUACCUGGGUGUAUUUUGUGAAGAAGUGAGUGAAUCUGAGUAGUUUAUAAGCGUUAUGUCCCACUUCUAGCAGCAGCAGUCCCCUGCCAGAAGUGGGGCAGCUGGGAGGCUGCUGUGCACCCUGGGGAUGGCAGAUGUGAACAAGGAGUACGCUCUGUACCUUGUGAUUCUCUCUGCAGUGUCUUGCCAGGGAAUAUCUUCAGGCAUUCCUUUCCCUCUGCUCUCCACAGGCUCUGCUUUGUGUCCUGCAUGCACAGAAAGCUGUCCCAGCAAUUCCUUUUGAAGUUUCGCCUGAAACACUUGGGGGUUUUUCCUUACCCAAACGGAGGCUAGAGGUGAAGGGACUUUGCUGCCAAUUCCUGUUCUGAUCUAGAGUCUAAACUCCUGCUGUUAAAGCCCUACCAGCCACUUCUGUUCUAGAUAUGUCACUGCAGUAGAGCAGAGGCUCCCCGGCUGUGCUCCUGCCUGAAUCCUGGGUUAUGCAAUAUCAGCCUGCGAGUGCCAACGCAGAUGCUGCUGCAUCCAGACACGCUGUACAAUGUAGUUGCUUGGAUACCCCUUUUUUUUUCUGUUCUUUUUCUCACAAGUGCUAGGUAACAAUUUGCAACUCGUAAUUAUAACGUUGAACACAGAUUCAGGUUAAGCAAUGUAAAGAAUUAGAAAUAUUAAUGAUUUCCUCUCUGCUUUUUAAAGGUUGAGCAUUGUGGAAUUUGCAAAGACUGAGUGUUGCUCUGUUCUCUUUUCAGCGUCUUUAUUUCAUCUUCAUAAGUGUUAAAUAACUUCCCCCUUUGAGAAUAUCUUUCAUCCAGAAAAUCAUCUCUUAAUUAUUGAUGCAAUAUGCCAAGAUCCCUGAGUGGCCUGGCUGCUGGUGCUUUUAUUUUGGGUAGGUCACGAAGAUUUCUGCGCUGCUCCUAAUUCUCUGUGUUGUGUGUUCCUUACGUCAAGAGGAGAUUUGACAGGGACUUGCAGGGAUUGGAUCUCAGAGGAGCUGAGUGGGUGAGAGUCUCCUGUAGCAUUCUGGCAGGGAGAAGGAUGCCUUUGUGUUACAGGCAGCCCCUGGGCUCUACGAGCUGGUGUGGGGUGAGGGUGCAGCUGAAACACGUCUCAGGGAUGGCUGCGUGUGCUUCAAUCUGUGGAAUUUGAGGCAAGCUAUCAAAAUGAAAAAACUCUGCCUGGUUAUGCUGAUGCUAACCAGGAAUUAGACUUAACAAGAGGGCUGUGCUGUCACAGCUUCAUUUUAUGGACACAGCUAUGACAUAAGUAGGAGUGGUAUCCAAAUAGCUCUAUUCUUGUUCCAUUAUGGGAAUAAUAUAUAUCAUGUAUGUUGCAGGUGGAUUAGCACUGUUUUAAUGACCCUACUGUACAUUCUGGAAGAGUCAAAGCUCUGGAGUUACAACUUGAUCAGAGCCCUAGAAUAACUCCCUGAUUUCUAAUUGAGAUAACUCCUGCAGGGAUACAAAUGAGCGUGUACCAAGGUAAACUAGAUGCUAACAGGAAGAUGGCUGAUUGCAAGACAAAGACCCUCCUUCCCUUUGCUGUGUACCUCCCUUCCUUCCACCCUCCUCCUCCUAAAAUAGCCUUUCAGCAUGAGUGAAAACCAAAUAUUUUCCUCUCUAAAAAACAAUUUAAAAUGUUUGUUCGUGUCAAUGGGAAAGUAAUUUAACCCAGAAGCUGGUGUUGUGCAUCUGCUGUGUCUGAUCUAUGUCCUUAUUCCUUGUAAUGCUUUCCUGUUGCUCAUGGAUGGUAAAAGAGUAUCAGCUGCAGUUCCAGGUCUCCAACUUCCCUGCAUAUGGCUCAUUAGCCAGUUUGCUUUUCAGGCUCCUUCAAUCUUGUUUAAUUCUAGCUGCCACGUUUUAAUGCAGCAGUUGAGGAGAGUCUCUCUCUCUCUUUCUCUCUUCAGCUGGAAACAGGCCCAGCUUCCGAGGUGAAGAUGUCAGCCCUGUGGGUGAGGAGGUGCAUGGCUAGGGCUGCUCUGGGAGCUCUGGAGGGCAUUGGGAGGUUGAGUAAGGUCUGUGUUUUAACAGGCAGUGACUGGAGAGGGUCUGAGGUGUGUAUGUCCAUCCUGCAUAAUUGCAGAGGGACAAUUUCACGCAUGUAAAUGUGUCAGCCUGCGUGAGUGGUGCUCAUUGUGGUAACCUGUGGAGCUGGGAUUUCAUUUUAAUCACAGACUGUUGGCUGUGUGGAAGCCCUGCCCUGAGAUUCACCAGUGUACACAUGCAUAUCUUUGACUUGGUCUUAGUCAAACUAUACCCUUGACGUCAGCAGCAGUUUCCAGUAUGAAAACUGGAGUUCCAGUGCCUGUGUUUAUACAGCCAGUGAGUCUUCUCACACUUGGCCCAUUACCAUGAGCAUUUGUUACCGUUCUAGGGAAACAAAUGCUCCUAGAUUCUAAGAUUUUCAGUGGACAAUGUCACUAGCUUUGCCUAAAAGGGGAUUAAGCAGGUACCUUUAGGGUUCUGGUGGGCAUUAAAUCCAGCAAAGCAUCAUAAUUACAUUAAAUACCUUUCUUUUCUGUCAUACUUGCAGGGUGCUGAAGGGCCUUCUGAAAGUCAUGGGGAAGGUCUAUUCAGGGAGACAGUAGUUCUGCUGGGUUUUUUUAUUUAGUGUCUGUAAGUGGCUAGAGAUGAUGUGCUACUACAGUUUUAGAAAGAGAAAUUAUAUUAAUGCACAUUUGAGGUAGGGAUAUUUAAAGUGAAUAUAUAUCUGCAAUGUAUGGGGUUUUUUUCCUUCCCCUUAGGUGGGUCUCUGAUUAAGGCAAAAGCUGUUAUACUCCUCAUCAGGCAAGUUGAUUUCUCUGCAGAAAUUCAGUUGACAGUAAUCUGCUUUUUAAUCUGUUCUUGUGGUGUAGUGUAGCAGGCUGUGUCACACCAUAUUUCUCAUCCUAAAUCUUGUUGUACCAGUUGCAGGCUUGUAAUUUUUGUCUUGAAGUGUCUGAGUUUUAGUUCUGCAGUUUUUAGUGAGUGCUAAUCUAAACAAGGUUUGCAUAAAUCUCUUUGCUCCAGCGGGAAGAUGAAAGCUUUGAUAAGGAACUUGUUUUUUUCUCUCUCCCAAGCAGGAGCACAAUGUCUUUGACCUAAAUAUACCAAUUACUGACAUAGCAAAGUGAUACAGAAAACAAUCUAGAAGGAAUGCCAACCUCUGAAUGAACACUUGGCUGCAGAAAGCUACUGCUUAUGUGGAACCUCAAAUCCAGAAGACAUGUGAGGAGGAAAACAGCAUUCAUUCAAAA